Cyprinus carpio carpio is the source of this 3626-nucleotide long non-coding RNA. Lineage: Eukaryota; Metazoa; Chordata; Actinopteri; Cypriniformes; Cyprinidae. The record is from Ensembl.
CUAUAAUUAAAAAUGGAACUCCUGCAUCCAGAGGAGUGUGUGGCAGCUCAAGCUGAAGAAUGAAUACCACAUUAAAACCUGACUGCAGGAGAUGAUCAGAAUAAAGCAGGAGACAGAAGGCUUUCCUGAAGGUCUGCUAGAUGAGCUCUAAAGGUCAUUUCCACACACGUUUCUGCUGAACGCCUCCCGCACAUUUCUCCGAGAAGCGAAAGUGAAACAGCAGAGGCUUUAAACCCUCCAGUGUGUCUGUGCUCGUCCUGAAGCCUCUGCGAACACCAGGAGCUCGGAUAAACCGCUUUGAUUCCGUUAAUAAGACGCCACGGUGGAUUCUCCGAGCAAGAUUUAAUGCAGGAGGCUGUGGGAAAUCUGCUGACCUGAGAAGACCGGCUCAGAAAUGAUCUCUCAAGCUAUGACUUUCAUCAGCUGAUACUAAUGAAAGCACUUCAUUACAGGACAUUGUUUUAAAAGGAUGUUUUCUUGAAUCUGGCUCUGUGGUGGUUUCGUUUUUCAUCACUUGUCACUUGUUUAAUGUGUUUUCUUUAUUGCAUUUACUUGAUGCUUUUCUCUAAAGUGACUUAUUGAUCCAUAUGACGGGAUUCGGCUGUAAUGUUCUUUAUUCUCUUGCCUGAACAAAAAAAUAAAUAAACUGUUUUCCUCACUGAAUCAUACCUGGAAUUUUCUGAAUUUCACUAUGACAGAAAUGCAGCGAUUAACUUUCUGAAUGUUUUUCAUGUUUUGCUGCUCCACAUCGGGUUGAAAUGAAUGAAGCAGAAUCUGGGUAUCAGUUCCAAACUCGUACGAUUGUCUUUCUUCUGUGGAACAAGGAAGAUUUGUUAGAGAAUCAAUGCAAUAAUAGUCAGUGGGGUCUAAAGUUUCAAGCACCAAAAAAACAUAAAUGUGGUGUAAAAGUCAUCAUACAACUCCAGCAGACUCUUCUGAAGCCAUACGAUCACUUUACACAACUAUCGGAGGGACCUCAAAUCAGCUCAUGUUUACAGACCUUUCUGAAAAUCAAGUAUGCUUUAAAAAGAGCACUUAAGUAAUAUACUUCAGAACAAUAUAUGGUCACACUUUAGUUUAGGGGACCAGUUCUUACUACUUUUGCCUCAAUAAACUCCUUAUUUGCUGCUUAUUAAUAGUUAGUAAGGUAGUUUAGGUAUUGGGUCAAAAUAAGGCAUCUAAAAUAUGCUUGUGCAUCAAAAUGUGUUAUAUUAGUGCUAAUAAACAGCCAAUAUGCUAGUAAUAUGCAUGCUAGUUAAUAGUGAGAACUGGCCCUUAAACUAAAGUGUUAAUUUAUAUACUUAAAGGGGACAUCAGAUGCAAAAUUCACUUUUACAUGAAUAUAAUGUGUGUUGGCAGUGUGUGGACACAAUUACCCUACAAUGAUAAAAAACACUCUUUUUUUUUUAAUCCCCAAAAAUCCUAUACAGUCUCAGUGACCAAGCUUUGAUUUUCUGAGCAGUAUGACGUCAUAUUGCUCAAGCCCCGCCCACAGCCGCUGACGGUGUUCUGAAAUAUUUGGUGUCUGAGAUUUUCUGUGAAACUGGGCGAAGCUUACAUGAAUAUUCAUGAGUUUCCUCUUAAAGUGCAGUUAAAACAUUAGUGCUCCUCGGAUCAAAAAAAAAAAAAAAAACCUGUUUCCGGUAACAUCAUUUCUUUUCAGCGUUGAUCUGAUUUUUUAUAUAUAUUUUUAUAUAUGUAUUAUUAUGCACAGCCAUUUACAGUCAUGGCCAAAAAUAUCUUGGUAAAUAUGAUCAAAGGCGGCUGUGAAAAUUAAUCUGCAUUGUUAAUCCUUUUGAUCUUUUAUUUUAAAAAAUCACAAAAAUCUAACCUUUCAUUGGAUAAUAAGAAUUUAAAAUGGGGGGAAAUAUCAUUAUGAAAUUAAUGCUUUUCUCUAAUGUUAAGCAGGCCUCUCCUCUAUCUGUGUUUAAAACCCAUCUUAAAACCCUUCUUUUCUCUUUGGCUUUUGACACCUAGUAAGAUGUCGACUUUAUUUACUUGAUUUAAUUUGUUACUUUGAAUGCUUUUAUUGUGUGGUUAUUAAUUGUACAUAUGUUUAUUUUUUCUGUACAGCACUUUGGUCAACUGUGGUUGUUGUAAAGUGCAUAACAAAUAAAGUUGGUAUGGUAUGGUAAUACACACUGGACACAAUUAACGGCACCCUUUUAUUCAAUACUUUCUGAAACCUCCUUUUGCCAGUUUAACAGCUCUACAUGUUCUCCUAUAAUGCCUGAUGAGGUUAGAGAACACCUGACAAGAGAUCAGAGCUCAUUUCUUAGUUUAAUCUCACCAUAGAAGCCAGUCCCAUUUAAAGUUUGAGUCGUGUCUGAUAACUGAAUAUGCUUUAGUUUGUUUUUGGAUGAGCUAGGAGAAUUUUUCUUGUAACCCUCCUAAACAACAUGUGAUGAUGUUCUGUUUGGUUGGAAAUUCUUAAUUAUUGUCCUGAUGGUGGAAAUGGGAAUUUUCACUGCUCUAGCUCUUUUCUUAAAGCCACUUCACCAAUUUGUGAAGCUCAAUUAUCUUUUGCUGCACAUCAGAAAUAUAUUCUUUGGUUUUUCUCAUUGUGAUGGAUGAUUCAGGGAAUUUGGGCUUUGUUUUCCCUCAUAUUUAUAUUUCUGUGAAACAGGAAGCCUUGGCUCGAUAAUUUCAUGUUCAUAAUCACCCUGGAGUGCCCAAAAUUGUGAAUAUGAAUGGGAAUAUACUUCUGAGAUAUAUUACUCAUAAGAAUUUCUAGGGGUGCCAAUAAUUGUGCCCAAUGUGUAUUAGAGAAAAACUUUCAUUUCAUAAUGAUAUUUCCCCCCAUUUUAAAUUCUUAUUAUCCAAUGAAAGGUUGGAUUUUUGUGAAUUUUUAAAAAUAAAAGAUCAAAAGGAUUAACAAUGCAGAUUAAUUUUCACUGCCUUCUUUGAUCAUAUUUACCAAGGGUGUCGAUAUUUUUGGCCAUGACUGUAUUUAUUACAGACGGAAUCCCGUUUAUCGUUAGAAUGUACAUCAAGUAAUCAAGCCAACAGCCCUCGUCUUUUUGUCAUAGCCUACUUCGGUUUAACAACUUUAAAACAGUUUCAUUUGAUAACUUGUGUAAGCUAUAUAUGAAUACAUAUGUACUCUUUAUGAAUGUUUUGUUGCUGUUUGUUUUUUUCUUUACAAUUUUAAUUAUACAAAUAUGAAUUGCAUUUAUCUUAUGAUCAUGUUACAUAUUUUUUUAUGAAAAUUGUUAAAGUUGUACUUUUUUUCCCCCAUCCAGUUCAGCAAAUGGUCAAAAAGGGUUACAUAAUGUACUUUUAUGAGACGCUUUUAUCCAAAGCGACUUACAGUCUAUACAUUUCUGUUAUUUAUUCACCAGCAUGUGUGUUCCCAGCGAAUUGAACCCAUGACCUUUCAUCUGUUAACAUAGUGCUCUACCACCGAGCCACAGGAACACUUGAAGCAUCAGGAACACUAAUGUACUGUAUGUAACAUGUUGGCUGGCUUACUGGAAAAAUGCAUCAUCUUUUGAAUUUAAGUCUGUUAUCUGUAUAAUGAGCCUGAAACUAUCAUAUGGCACAAAACAAUUAGAACAGUGUGUAGACACCUGCUGAAAUCCCUCUCACGUCUUCUCCAUAUACACAUUUGUGAUUAAACAUUUAUC